RNAcentral lists this long non-coding RNA (1068 nucleotides) under Serinus canaria (Common canary). RNAcentral describes it as "lncRNA (ENSSCAG00000011379.1)". The record is from RNAcentral. Lineage: Eukaryota; Metazoa; Chordata; Aves; Passeriformes; Fringillidae.
AUGAGCCCCAGAACAGUUCUCUGCAACGCUUUCUUGCUCGACCCCGUCCCGCCCGGGGCUGUUGCCCAGGACGAUCUCGCAGCCCAGCGCUGCCUCGCCCGGCCCGACCUCCGGCCCAUCUUAAGCCUGCAACUGCUCACCAGCGGGCGGCUUCCGCUGGGGCUCGGGCCAAGUCCGGGUUCGAAAACCUUCCUUUCACGGCCGGAGCUAGGAGGAGCUUCUGGGCGAGGGGAAAGGCAAAGUACUCCCAGAGAUUGCAAAACUUACACUCCAAAGAGCAAUUUCUCUUCAGCUUCCCCGCUGAUCCUACCCAGAGCCAAACACAACCCCCUUCUGUGCCCAUCCUCCCGCCCGUCCUGGUCCCUGCUGCAGGAGACAAGCUGGGGAAUAACCCCGGGGCAAUCUCCCUGGAGCAGCACGGCAGGACGUUCCUGGAGGGCCGGCCGGUCUGUCACGCACCUCGCCCUUUGCCCUCCGGGCAGGAGCCCUGAUCCCGGCAAGAACCACUCACUCCACCGGGCUGGAGCCACCCGCCCCCGCCGCGACCCCCGCCCGCCGCCGCGGUACCGUCUGCCCGGGCCGACACAGCUCCGACACUGCACCGAAACAGCGCCAACACAGCUCCGACACGGCGCCCGGCCCCCGACACACGACCCUCCCGCCCCGUCAGGCGGCCGCUCCUCCCCUGGGCUGCCGCCGCGGCCCGGCCGUGCCCACCGCCCGCCCCGCCGGGCGCAUCACCAAACCCAAGCAGCGCAGCUCAGGGAAAAGCCUCCCCCAGCCUUGUCCCUGCGGUCUUGCCGAGUUUCUGUUGCAAAAUGUGGAAUAUGUAAACAUUUUCUUGACAAAGGAUGUGCUUUGAUGUUUGAUCUUUGUGAAAAACGCGUAUUUUAUGAUUGGCUUUUCGCAAAUAUUAUAAUGAGUAUUAUAUGUGUUGUGUUAGAAAGUAAUGUUGUAUUAAUUCUCUUAAGUGGUGUGUUAAAUAUAGUUUCAGGUUAUAAAAAUGUUAAAAUAGAAACUAUGCUAUGUAGGAUACUUUUCUUAAAGAAAGGACUUGCAGCGAGAUAA